Molecule: ribosomal RNA, 647 nt
Filed under: uncultured Pseudomonadota bacterium
Lineage: Bacteria; Pseudomonadati; Pseudomonadota
Description: bacterial SSU rRNA
Rfam family: Bacterial small subunit ribosomal RNA
Source: RNAcentral
UCCUACGGGAGGCAGCAGUGGGGAAUAUUGGACAAUGGGCGCAAGCCUGAUCCAGCCAUGCCGCGUGAGUGAAGAAGGCCUUCGGGUUGUAAAGCUCUUUUGUCCGGAAAGAAAAGCUCUCGGUUAAUACCCGGGGGUUCUGACGGUACCGGAAGAAUAAGCACCGGCUAACUUCGUGCCAGCAGCCGCGGUAAUACGAAGGGUGCAAGCGUUACUCGGAAUUACUGGGCGUAAAGCGUGCGUANGUGGUUCGUUAAGUCUGAUGUGAAAGCCCUGGGCUCAACCUGGGAAUGGCAUUGGAUACUGGCGAUCUAGAGUGCGGUAGAGGGCAGUGGAAUUCCCGGUGUAGCAGUGAAAUGCGUAGAGAUCGGGAGGAACAUCUGUGGCGAAGGCGACUGCCUGGACCAGCACUGACACUGAGGCACGAAAGCGUGGGGAGCAAACAGGAUUAGAUACCCUGGUAGUCCACGCCCUAAACGAUGCGAACUGGAUGUUGGGUGCAACUAGGCACUCAGUAUCGAAGCUAACGCGUUAAGUUCGCCGCCUGGGGAGUACGGCCGCAAGACUGAAACUCAAAGGAAUUGACGGGGGCCCGCACAAGCGGUGGAGUAUGUGGGUUUAAUUCGAUGCAACGCGAAAAACCUUAC